This 1585-nucleotide ribosomal RNA is filed under the name Haemophilus influenzae. Its description in RNAcentral is "bacterial LSU rRNA". It matches the Rfam family "Bacterial large subunit ribosomal RNA", at positions 1355 to 2925 of the family's 2925-position model. Lineage: Bacteria; Pseudomonadati; Pseudomonadota; Gammaproteobacteria; Pasteurellales; Pasteurellaceae. The record is from RNAcentral.
CUGUCCAACGUUAAUCGGGGCAGGGUGAGUCGGCUCCUAAGGCGAGGCUGAAAAGCGUAGUCGAUGGGAAACAGGUUAAUAUUCCUGUACUUGGUAAAGCUGCGAUGUGGGGACGGAGUAGGUUAGGUUAUCGCACUGUUGGAUAUGUGCGUUUAAGUUGGUAGGUGGGAAGUUUAGGCAAAUCCGGACUUCCUUAACACAGAGAGAUGAUGACGAGGCUCUACGGAGCUGAAGUAACUGAUACCACACUUCCAGGAAAAGCCACUAAGCGAAAGGCUUUACUAAACCGUACUGAAAACCGACACAGGUGGUCAGGUAGAGAAUACUCAGGCGCUUGAGAGAACUCGGGUGAAGGAACUAGGCAAAAUAGCACCGUAACUUCGGGAGAAGGUGCGCCGGCGUAGAUUGUAGUCCCUAGCGGGCGAAGGUUGAACCGGUCGAAGAUACCAGCUGGCUGCAACUGUUUAUUAAAAACACAGCACUCUGCAAACACGAAAGUGGACGUAUAGGGUGUGAUGCCUGCCCGGUGCUGGAAGGUUAAUUGAUGGUGUCAUCGCAAGAGAAGCACCUGAUCGAAGCCCCAGUAAACGGCGGCCGUAACUAUAACGGUCCUAAGGUAGCGAAAUUCCUUGUCGGGUAAGUUCCGACCUGCACGAAUGGCAUAAUGAUGGCCAGGCUGUCUCCACCCGAGACUCAGUGAAAUUGAAAUCGCCGUGAAGAUGCGGUGUACCCGCGGCUAGACGGAAAGACCCCGUGAACCUUUACUAUAGCUUGACACUGAACAUUGAAUUUUGAUGUGUAGGAUAGGUGGGAGCCUUUGAAGCAGUGACGCCAGUCAUUGUGGAGGCGACCUUGAAAUACCACCCUUUAACGUUUGAUGUUCUAACGAAGAUGACGAAACGUGGUCUCGGACAGUGUCUGGUGGGUAGUUUGACUGGGGCGGUCUCCUCCCAAAGCGUAACGGAGGAGCACGAAGGUUUGCUAAUCACGGUCGGACAUCGUGAGGUUAGUGCAAUGGUAUAAGCAAGCUUAACUGCGAGACAGACAAGUCGAGCAGGUACGAAAGUAGGUCAUAGUGAUCCGGUGGUUCUGAAUGGAAGGGCCAUCGCUCAACGGAUAAAAGGUACUCCGGGGAUAACAGGCUGAUACCGCCCAAGAGUUCAUAUCGACGGCGGUGUUUGGCACCUCGAUGUCGGCUCAUCACAUCCUGGGGCUGAAGUAGGUCCCAAGGGUAUGGCUGUUCGCCAUUUAAAGUGGUACGCGAGCUGGGUUUAGAACGUCGUGAGACAGUUCGGUCCCUAUCUGCCGUGGGCGUUGGAUGAUUGAUUGGGGCUGCUCCUAGUACGAGAGGACCGGAGUGGACGCAUCACUGGUGUUCCAGUUGUCUCGCCAGAGGCAUUGCUGGGUAGCUAAAUGCGGAAGAGAUAAGUGCUGAAAGCAUCUAAGCACGAAACUUGCCAAGAGAUGAGUCAUCCCUGACUUUAAGUCAGUAAGGGUUGUUGUAGACUACGACGUAGAUAGGUCAGGUGUGUAAGUGUAGUGAUACAUUGAGCUAACAGAUACUAAUUGCCCGAGAGGCUUAACU